This 266-nucleotide ribosomal RNA is filed under the name uncultured bacterium. RNAcentral describes it as "partial 16S ribosomal RNA". It matches the Rfam family "Bacterial small subunit ribosomal RNA", at positions 1235 to 1500 of the family's 1533-position model. The record is from RNAcentral.
CGGUACAACGAGUCGCAAGACCGCGAGGUUUAGCAAAUCUCUUAAAGCCGUUCUCAGUUCGGAUUGUAGGCUGCAACUCGCCUACAUGAAGUCGGAAUCGCUAGUAAUCGCGGAUCAGCAUGCCGCGGUGAAUACGUUCCCGGGCCUUGUACACACCGCCCGUCACACCAUGAGAGUUUGUAACACCCAAAGCCGGUGGGGUAACCUUUUGGAGCCAGCCGUCUAAGGUGGGACAGAUGAUUGGGGUGAAGUCGUAACAAGGUACC